CGUUAUCCGGAAUCAUUGGGUUUAAAGGGUCCGCAGGCGGACGUAUAAGUCAGUGGUGAAAUCCUACAGCUUAACUGUAGAACUGCCAUUGAUACUGUAUGUCUUGAAUUCGGUCGAAGUGGGCGGAAUGUGUCAUGUAGCGGUGAAAUGCAUAGAUAUUACACAGAACACCGAUUGCGAAGGCAGCUCACUAGGCCUGGACUGACGCUCAGGGACGAAAGCGUGGGGAGCGAACAGGAUUAGAUACCCUGGUAGUCCACGCCGUAAACGAUGAUUACUCGAUGUUGGCGAUAUACUGUCAGAGACUAAGCGAAAGUGAUAAGUAAUCCACCUGGGGAGUACGAUCGCAAGGUUGAAACUCAAAUGAAUUGACGG
This 375-nucleotide ribosomal RNA is filed under the name uncultured Flavobacteriia bacterium. Its description in RNAcentral is "bacterial SSU rRNA". It matches the Rfam family "Bacterial small subunit ribosomal RNA", at positions 539 to 916 of the family's 1533-position model. The record is from RNAcentral. Lineage: Bacteria; Pseudomonadati; Bacteroidota; Flavobacteriia.